Molecule: ribosomal RNA, 871 nt
Filed under: uncultured bacterium
Lineage: Bacteria
Description: partial 16S rRNA
Rfam family: Bacterial small subunit ribosomal RNA
Source: RNAcentral
CGGUAAGACGGAGGUGGCAAGCGUUGCUCGGAAUUACUGGGCUUAAAGGGUGUGUAGGCGGUCGGGUAAGCGUCUUGUGAAAUCCCUCGGCUCAACCGAGGAACUGCUUGGCGAACUGCCUGACUUGAGGCGCGUAGAGGCCAAUGGAACUCUGGGUGGAGCGGUGAAAUGCGUAGAUAUCCAGGGGAACGCCAGUGGCGAAAGCGAUUGGCUGGGCGCGUCCUGACGCUGAGGCACGAAAGCGUGGGGAGCGAACGGGAUUAGAUACCCCGGUAGUCCACACCGUAAACGAUGUGCACUAGGUUCGAGAGCUUCUGACAGUUUUCGGGCCGAAGGGAAACUGUUAAGUGCACCGCCUGGGGAGUACGGCCGCAAGGCUAAAACUCAAAGGAAUUGACGGGGGCUCACACAAGCGGUGGAGCAUGUGGCUUAAUUCGAAGCAACGCGAAGAACCUUACCUGGGUUUGACAUGCUUGGAUGCCGCCGCCGAAAGGUGGUCAGGCUGCCCUUCGGGGUGAAACUUGCACAGGUGCGGCAUGGCUGUCGUCAGCUCGUGCCGUGAGGUGUUGGGUUAAGUCCCGUAACGAGCGAAACCCUUGCCGCUAGUUGCCAGUGGGUAAUGCCACGCACCCUAGCGGGACUGCCGGCGUUAAGCCGGAGGAAGGUGGGGACGACGUCAAGUCAUCAUGGCCUUUAUGCCCAGGGAUGCACACGUGCUACAAUGCCCGUCACAAAGCGACGCUAAACCGCGAGGUGGAGCAAAUCGCAAAAAGGCGGGCUCAGUUCGGAUCGCAGUCUGCAAUUCGACUGCGUGAAGGCGGAAUCGCUAGUAAUCGCGUAUCAGCUAUGACGCGGUGAAUAUGUUCCUGAG